GAAGUAUUCGUAUGGAGGCGACGUGGGCGGUUCGCCGCCGACGACGUCGCGAGAAGUCCACUGAACCUUAUCAUUUAGAGGAAGGAGAAGUCG
This 93-nucleotide ribosomal RNA is filed under the name Combretum molle. RNAcentral describes it as "partial 18S ribosomal RNA". The record is from RNAcentral. Lineage: Eukaryota; Viridiplantae; Streptophyta; Magnoliopsida; Myrtales; Combretaceae.